This 98-nucleotide microRNA precursor is filed under the name Marmota monax (woodchuck). Lineage: Eukaryota; Metazoa; Chordata; Mammalia; Rodentia; Sciuridae. The record is from RNAcentral.
GUGAAAAUCAUCUGGAGAUUCUACUAACAUGCAGAUUCUGUCUCAGGAGGUCUGGGACAAGAGUUUGCAUUUCUAAUAAGCUCUUAGGUGGUGUCAAU